AUUAGCAGACCCAGGAGAAAUGAACACAGGCGGGCAAAACAACAGAUGUGUGAUACAAGUUUUCAUGAGAGCCAAUUGCUCUAAGACAGUUUUCAUUCUCAUUUGGCUUUUGCCAUGGAAGGAACUGUAGUGUUGACUGAUGCCAUGAGAAGAGUUAAGAACAUCUUUUGGAUUGAGAGAAAAGUAAACAGAGCACUCUCAUCUAUAUCAGGGGCUGGAAGCAAGCCCCUGGAAGAAGACACGGCUGCCGACACACCUCCAGCCUGCACGAGGAUGCUUUCCUGCCUCAAGGAGUAGAAACCUCCCUUGAAUUCAAUAGAAAUUCCUGCAAAACAGGAAUUCCAGAGGCGGGGCCACUGUGGCGGCAGUGAAGCCCAGGUUUGGUGUCCCUGGGUUCUCUGGCCCUGAGCUCCUCUGCUGCUGCUCUGUUCUCAGCAGCCUCACUUGUGCUGGCGUAGUGGCUUCCAGAGGCAACUGGGACAGGUUCAUGCUCAGCAAGAGAGCUGGGAAACCUCUCUUCCACCCACAGGUUCAAGGACCGUUCCUUCAGUCCACCUGGACCAACAUAGGUCUCUCCCCACUCCCUGGACCAAUGACAGCCGCCAGAGGCAUGCCAGGUGCUGACUGGAUACCUGAACACAUGAGAUGAGCUUAGCAUGCUGGCUCCACUAACCAGGACCCUCACUGGAGCUAGAGCUGGUCCAGGGGCCUCGGUCACGUGGCUUGAGUGGAGGAGGGAAGAAGGCUUGGAUGCAGGUAGACCUUAUAUUGUGUUUAACUGGGCUGUACAUGUUUAACGGGUUCUAACAUAAAUAUUUUUCAUUAAAAAACA
Molecule: long non-coding RNA, 832 nt
Organism: Lagenorhynchus albirostris (white-beaked dolphin)
Lineage: Eukaryota; Metazoa; Chordata; Mammalia; Artiodactyla; Delphinidae
Exons: 2
Source: RefSeq, a predicted model, not a curated record